UGGGAGAGAUGCACCAACUUUACUCUUCACGUAAUACAUCUCUCUCACCCUCUCUUGCGAUCUCAGGACUCCAUGACCCCCCCGCCUCUCUCUCUCUCUCUCUCUCUCUCUCUCUCUCCCCUUGUUAACUACUCCAUGGCAGCCAUUAAUGCCGGUCUUCUCUCACUCACUUGCCAUAAGCUCCUCAGGUACAGAGAGAGAGAGUAUGAGCAAAGUAAGGAAAACCAUUCAACUUGGCCAUGGAACCCGACUUCCAGAAAUUGCAUAAGAGAGAGAAAGUUGGUUCUAUGGUUCUUUGGUUGGUGAGGGGGGUCAGCGGAGAAGAAGAAUUGAAGGAACGAAUUCGGAUUGUCAAAUCUUUAUUUGCUUCUCUUGAUAGUAGAUUGUGUUCCAAUUAUUCGUUUCAGUGGUUUGAUUUUUUAGGAUCUAUAAUUAAACCAUCAUAACUUGGGUUAAGAUAUUAUGUAGUUAGAUUUGGAGGAAAUAGCUAGAACUUAACUUGAAAGUGCAGAAACUAUUUCUAUGGCUUUCUCCGAUUUAUGUUCUUCGCUGUGGUUUGCAUGUUGUUUGGUUUGGCUAAUGUGGCUGCAAAUUUUUUUUUUUUUAGGGUUUGUUGGUUGUCGAUCGAAGGUUCCGUGAAUGCAUAUUCUAGGGUUAGGGUUUUGGUUGAAAGAAAAAACAGAGAAGAAAUGGGCCAAUAGUUGCUGAUCUACAGCUUCAUGGCUCCAAAUUGAGGGUUCAGAUAUUCUAAAGGUCCAUAUGCAUGAGUUAAAUACAUGUUUGGCGAGCCCAUACUUCCCAACCAACCCAACGAAGGGAUGAGAAAACCCGAAUGAGACAAAAGAGGGCAUUUAUAUUGGUAAGAUCCCUUUCACUCCUUUGUAGGUAUUUUUUGUCCACUCUUCAGCCCAAAGCUAUUACUUUAUUUAUUUUCCAUUUUUAUGCCUCAAGAAUCCUAUAAAAGAUCAGAUGAGAAAAGGAAAAUGAAGAGUUUAGUGUUUUAUAUAUCCCUCACGGUUAUGGGAUGUCCUAGAAUCAUCGUUCAAAAUGUCCAUGUUUACUUUGUUUUCAUUUAUUGUCAUAACUGCGAAGGGCAAACAACAAAGAGCUCACAUUAAACUUUAGACUUUCUUCUUCUCAAAGUGAAGCCAUUUUUACCGACAUUGGUGUUUGAUCUGUUGCGCUUGCGUUUCUGAGCUUUAAUAAGAUACUGACAUUGGAAAAAUAGCUAUUCGCAUUCUUGUACUUAGAAGUUAUUUUCGCGUUGUUGUUUAGAGCUAAACUGACACAUUAGGUGUCUUUUUUGAGCUCUUCCGACUGCCUUAACAACCUGAUUUUAUUGUGAGCACUGCUAUGUGUACCAAGGCAAUUUUUUGGUACGUUGGGCAGAAAAGAAUGGAAUGACUGCCAAUUUCAGUACCCUUUGUGAGAAUACCAAGGCAAAAGCAUUCAUUCUUGAAUACCUUACUAAGACUGGAAAAGAAAAGAAGGUUCCUUUCGUUCUCUUAACAUGUUGUUAUGUGGUUGUACACAUAACAAUUAUACUUUGUAUUGAAAGUUGAGAUUAAAAGGUUGCGGGAAUGAAAUCAAAUAGCUAUAUGAAAUUUUUGUGUCCCUAACUUAUAUUGCUCUCUUUGCAACUAAAAGGUUUUGAGUUGAUAAAAGGUGUCCACCUUGACCCAAUACCAUUUGACAUGGACUGAGAUCUUCUCACCCCCAACUUCCAGGAAAAAGAGGGGCAAGUUUCACAAAUACUAUCAGGUAAGCUCCUGUGAUCUAUGCCCUUAGAUUAAUUGAUCUAUGCCCUUAGAUUAAUUGGUCAAAGACUGAGACAAGUGUAGAAGUACCAUGUGUAACAAUGUUUGGUUAUUCAAUAACUAAUUUAUGUGUUCUGUAGCAGCCUAUGUUUCAAGGAGUGCUUCUGGUUUCUGACUUUAUUAUUUGUAUGCUUAAGAGUCUAGAAGAUCAACAUGUCUUCAGUCACGGAGUACAUCAAAUAAUUGAUUUCAGUUUCUCACCUAUAAUUGAUUUCAAUGUGUAAUCAAUAUAAACUCAAUCUUCAACCCAAUUGCUUGGAUGUUUGUUUGUUUGAGUGGGCUAAGCGAUGGUGAAUUUGUGAUUCCAUGCCUUCUCUUUGUUUUAAUAACUUUGGUUAUUCAUGGCAAGUGGCUGAGAUGUUCAGUCGACUCCCUCCCUCUUUGUGGGGGGCUCAUCAUUGUGUUCUGAACCCCACAACCUAAUGAAGUCGGUAGGAGUAUUGUUACCUAUGAGAAUGUCCAUGAUGAAAUCCAAGCUAACUGAGUGAAAUGCCUUCACAAGAUCAACCUUUAUGGCGCACCGCGGGGAACCUUGAAGCCUAUCAUUCAAACAUUCCAGUUUUGUUGUCUCUAUAUUUUUUGAUAGUUGAUUUCACUUACAUAUUUACUAGACUCAACUACUUGCACAAUUUCACAAACAUUCAAUAUCGCUCUCCUCAACGGGCAUGACAGACGUGCUUUGCACGUCGCGAUGCACCUAGUUUCUUUAUAAAAGCAUCUCAUGUUUGUCAGACUUUUCCAUUUUCCAAAUUACCCUUCCUACUUCUACUCCCAAAAAACAGACGCAUCCUUACUCCCAAAAAAACGGAUGCAACGAUUCCUUUCCUAUACUCCCAACUAUACCAUCACAACUACCCACCGCUCCAAAUGGAAACCCACUCCAAUACUCCAUCUCCAAUCCCCAAAGUCUCUGCCAAAGAUUUUUCCAAUUCAAACCUCCACCGUCCACCGUACCUCCCUAUACCGUUUCGGCCGCCGGAAUAAAUUGCCCAGUAAGUCCAACUUAAUUCAUUGUCCAACCUCCACCUCUAUCUAAAUGCGUAUACAUAUACAUCUGCAUUUAUCCGUGCUUCGUAAUUAAGGAUAGCAUAAUGCACACCAAAAGUUCGAUAAAAUUAUGCAACUUUAGUUGGUGUUCUGCCCAUAGUGUUUGAUAUAUUGCUUCUAUGAGGAUUGAAUAUGGUUACCCUGAUAUAAGGCAAAAUUAACUAUGGAAUCUGGAAAUUUGUUGUGGGUUUUGGAGUUUUGGCGUUUAGCCUUGAUCCUCCUUUGAUUUAUUGCCAGGAUAACAAACGCAAAGGGUUGUUCCAUUGGUGGGAAGUCAUGUACACUAACUGUUUGAUAUAAUUCCCAAGCAUUAUUGGGUGGUGGUUCCAUUGUUUCGUUGAAACAUUUAGUACUUCUAAUAUUAUGUACCUGGUUUUUGGUGACAAGGGAGUAUCAUCUGUUUAUGCAUAGAACACAUCAAUCGAGAGUAACUUAAAAUCAUUUACUUAAAAGGAACUCCCUCUUGGUUGGAGUAAUUCAUUCCUAUAUAAAAGAAGGAUCUGGAAAUGCAAACAAAUUGUUUUCUACAAAGUGUUGAACAAGUUCUUUAGGUUACGUCAUUAUAUCCAGUUACCAAAACAUUGCUGACAAGCUGAAACUUUUUCCUAAUCAUGUUUCUUGGCUUUUAGUAUUUCUAAAAGCAUAUUGGCCUAUAUAGCCAAUUGCCCAGUUGGUAUUACUUUUGUCAUAGAUUUUGUGGUAGAGGCUUCCAGAUUUGGAUGUAUUUAUAUGUAUAAUCAGAGGUGUACUUUCAAUUCACAUUAGGUUGGUGCCUACUUGGCGUUGAUUAGGUGAUGUAAAUUCUUAUGAAUACACAAUGUAUGUGUUGAUGCCAUGCACUGUUAAAAGACUUUCCUACUUGCUUGUCAAGAUUGCUUAGCCCGGUUGUUCAACUACGCACAAAUAGCAUAAAGUUUAUUAACAGAUAGAGGAAGCACAGGUGAAAUUCAUUUAUUUGCGCUACUGUUCUAACUUUCCUUCUAUUUUUCCAUUCAUCUUCUAACUUCUGAGUGUCAUUUGAGUACUUACCUUAAACUAAAUCUUUCAUUUUUGGAAGUUGGAAUGUGUUGGGUAGGAGAAAGAGGAAAAGGUGAUGACAUGAUAUGGAAUUGAAGUGGAGAACUCAAUAUUUUCUUCUAACAUGGACAGGUAUGGACCGUACAUAUGGCAAGAAAAGUUUAAGGUUGACCAACGAGAGUUGCACAUUUUGUUUUCUUUUUUUGAGUUAAAAGUUAAAGAUCGGGCAUUACAUUACAUGUUACUUGCGGGUUUUACACAUUUUGUUUGAUAUGUUGAUUUUUUUUCCCUUUUAAGAUUUUAGAUUAUUGAGAAUACUGAUACCCCAAAAAAAAAACCUCCAUUUUUUUUUAAUGUUUUUGGAUUUAAUGUUUUUUCCCCCUCCAAGUGUGAAGCGGCCACAUAUUUGCCAAUUUUAUUUAAAAUAAAUUAUUGAAUUUUUGCCAAUUUCUUUAGUGAGUUAUGACAUUUAAAGGAGUCGAUGCCGUUCCUAUUUCGGUGAUGACAGAGAUAAUUGCAGUCAUUUGCAGAUGACCUUUAAAUCAAGUACCAUAAAAUCAAGUACCAUAUGGACUACACAAUUACUACAUUGAUCUAGAUUUGUGUGAUUCAACCCGUGAAAGGGGUGGGGGACGCAAAAGUGGGUCAGGAUAAUUUUGUGGUUUUAUGUUGUUGAUAAGAGUCAUCUGCCAGUGAUCUCUACCAAUUACUGAUUUGCAUGUAUAGAUUGUCGGUUUAGAGAAGGAUUUGACGUAUAUGGAUAGUAAUGGAGGUAAUCGAAGCAAAUUGGAUGCAGGCAGUCGUGGUUGGUUAAUUUUAAGUGAGGAAAAGGGAGAAAACUAGAUCUUUUGGCAAUGGCAAAGUAGACGGGAUGGAUCCGAGAGGUAAAGGAGAAAAAAAUUGGGGAGAGAGAGAGAGGGAGAGAGAGGCUGUUGAGAAGAAGAUGGGUGCCAGAAGCCUACAAUUCGCAUCCCAGAGUCUGUGGAGGGUGAAAUGGUCAGCAAAUCCUAAAUGUCGUGGCACCAAGAGAAUUCAUGGUGACAGAUCACUGUCCUUGGCAUUAUUUGUUUUGAUAUUCCUGUGAACUUGACAGAUUAAAUCUAAUGAGUUUCGAAUUCUCUUUAUUGACUAGCCAAGUUUUUGCUUGCUUAACAAUGAGCCGAGAUGAAAGCAAUGGAAGGUUGUUUUACUGAAGGAAGGGGGUUGUGUCAAUUAAAUUGUUCCCUUUGUAAUUCUACAUUCAAUUUUUCGCUGUUCCACCUGCUCUUUUGCCCUAUUUUUGUUCCUGUUCAUUCCUUGUGUUUCUUUUUACAGAGAAUCUUGAGUAUCGACCAAUAGAAUAAAUGAAAGGUUGCACUGGAAUCAUUCUUCCGAU
This is a long non-coding RNA of Rhododendron vialii, 5256 nucleotides long. RefSeq lists it as uncharacterized. Lineage: Eukaryota; Viridiplantae; Streptophyta; Magnoliopsida; Ericales; Ericaceae. The transcript is spliced from 3 exons. The record is from RefSeq and is a predicted model, not a curated record.